CUCCUUCCGUCUAUGGCGACGGCGACCUCCGGCGUCAGCAGGCUCAGCGCAGCGGCGGGUAACAACGACGGCGACGUCGGCCUCCAAGACCCCAUCCCGGCCUCUGUUGGAAUAUGUAGGUACCCACUCCUUCCCCUUCCCCUUCACUUGCUGCCCGCUCUCUUCAAAUCUGUUUCUGCAUCCUCUGUUAGAACUUGUUUGCUCUCUGUUUUUUGGAGAUGUGCUAGUCUGUAUGAAUGUAUAAUUGGUACGUAGCUCAAAACGAAACUUGCAAAUGGUUCAAUACAUUUACAGGCAGCACCGAGAUGGCAUGGUUGAACGCAAAAAGCAAAUGCCAUGACUGACGAAACUGAAAAAAUUGAACACUUCCUUCCUCGUCCUGGGUGAAAACCAUGUGACUGCACAACCGUGCUUUGCUAGUACAUGCAGGUUCAGUGAGUUUGGAACCGAUGGAGGACAACAGCAAAGUCUGAAGCCAAAGUUCAACCUCUUUGUCAAGCAGGUGUCCGCCAGCAUUGGGAUGGCAGAGCCACACAUUGAUGUAUGGAUAUUUUCUGGUUGCUUACCCCGUUCUACAUCAUUGUUUUUUGUUUAAGGAUCCAUUCACCUAGUUCCUAGUUUUGAUGGAUUUUGUUCUGUUUGUUUACAAAUCAAGUCUUUCAUUGCCUUUACCGUGUUUCUUAAAGCCUUUGGUGGUCUGCUUUUCAUCAUCAGCAGCUCGUUUGGAGCAUUCGUACUGGUGUGUACUCUUCUUCUGAAUGCACUGUAUCAAGAAUUAUUUCAUGUUAAGGGGGUAUCAAGAUGCAUACUAUUGUGGCUGCCAUUAAUGUAGACUUGCAGCACCAUGUCUUCUCAAACUAAUAAAAAGGAAGUAUUGUUGCCAUGCCAUUUAGGUAGUUUUAACAAUUUUAGUGUGUCCAUUUUACUGGCUGUAAAAUGCCAAAUCUGGCAUUAUUGCUGCUUCGAUGUUUGAUCUUCAUACAUUUUGCUUCUGCAAUAUCCUGUUGUAGCAUCUGACAGUGGAAUGCUUCAACAACAACCUUCCUGAAAGAUUCCAAAUGUGGUGGCAGGUUAUUCUUAUUUUUUAACCACUUGAUAGGCUCAUGUCUGUUGAGUUUGUGCAACUGAUUUGCUACAGUCCAAAUUUACGUGUUUAUGCUUAUAUUUAUUGUUUGCAUUCUAUAUGUGACAAUGCAACAGUUCUUUGAGGCAUCAAUCCAUGAUAACUGGGCAUAUCGGUUUAUGCUUAGAUAUAAAGAAACCAAAUAUAUAUUCUGUCUUAUUAUACGGAACCAAUUGUAUUUAAUCCAUGUUAAAAUGAUUAUGCAUUUAUCAUGUUGGAACUUCUUUGUCAAGCAGGUCUCCGCCAACAUUGGGAAUUUGGGAUGGCAGUGCCACACAUUGAUGUAUGGAUACUUUUUGGUCGCUUGCCCCGUUGUACAUCAUUGUUAGAGCACUAUAUUUUAUUGUUAACCAUGCUGUGGUCCAAACUCCUUUUUAUUCUGCUCAUAUGAUAUUGCUCAUCUUUUGUUUUCUGUUCGAUGCCUCCUGUAUUUAGAGUAGAAAUAUUCUUAAUUUAGUGUUUCUUGAACAUGGCCAGGGCAAUGGAUAAAAUCUACUCUGGAUAGUUGACAGAGAGAGUACAUGCUAAGUUGACUUUUUUCCUGCGGAUUUGCUUAUCCUGAAGAUGCUUGCAAGGAUGCAGAGGGAGCGGAUCAUUUGGAGAGAUAGGAUGCCACUGUUUGGUGUUUUUAUGCAUUUUGGUUUGCUUGUAACUGUGUUUGCACUAGCUGGGAGUAAGUGACUUGGCAAGAAGUGUAGGUGUUUUAAUUGAAGGCAUGAAAAGCCAUGACAAUAUGUAUGCUCUUACAGGAUGUGCUCUAAUGCCGCUGGUUUAUUAUAAAUCUUGGAUUAGUAAUGAUGUGUAAUGCUGCUGGUUUAUUACAAAUAUGUGUUUGUUUUAGUUGGAAUUGUAUGCAUAGAAUGGAAUUGGUGGAUUUUAUUUUUUUUAAUUCCUAAUUAGUU
This 2025-nucleotide long non-coding RNA is filed under the name Triticum aestivum (bread wheat). RNAcentral describes it as "long non-coding RNA (TAES_LNC012704)". The record is from RNAcentral. Lineage: Eukaryota; Viridiplantae; Streptophyta; Magnoliopsida; Poales; Poaceae.